CCCAGACUCCUACGGGAGGCAGCAGUGAGGAAUAUUGGUCAAUGGACGCAAGUCUGAACCAGCCAAGUAGCGUGCAGGAUGACGGCCCUCCGGGUUGUAAACUGCUUUUAGUUGGGAAUAAAAGGGGGCUCGUGAGCCCCGUAUUGUAUGUACCAUCAGAAAAAGGACCGGCUAAUUCCGUGCCAGCAGCCGCGGUAAUACGGAAGGUCCGGGCGUUAUCCGGAUUUAUUGGGUUUAAAGGGAGCGUAGGCCGGCUUUUAAGUCAGCUGUGAAAGUCCGCGGCUCAACCGUAAAAUUGCAAUUGAUACUGGCAGUCUUGAGUACAGUUGAGGUAAGCGGAAUUCGUGGUGUAGCGGUGAAAUGCUUAGAUAUCACGAAGAACCCCGAUUGCGAAGGCAGCUUACUAAACUGUGACUGACAUUGAUGCUCGAAAGUGUGGGUAUCAAACAGGAUUAGAUACCCCAGUACU
This 469-nucleotide ribosomal RNA is filed under the name uncultured bacterium. RNAcentral's name for it is "bacterial SSU rRNA". It matches the Rfam family "Bacterial small subunit ribosomal RNA", at positions 330 to 794 of the family's 1533-position model. The record is from RNAcentral.